GUGGGGAAUUUUGGACAAUGGGCGCAAGCCUGAUCCAGCAAUGCCGCGUGCAGGAAGAAGGCCUUCGGGUUGUAAACUGCUUUUGUACGGAACGAAACGGUCCUGGCUAAUAUCCGGGGCUAAUGACGGUACCGUAAGAAUAAGCACCGGCUAACUACGUGCCAGCAGCCGCGGUAAUACGUAGGGUGCGAGCGUUAAUCGGAAUUACUGGGCGUAAAGCGUGCGCAGGCGGUGCUGUAAGACAGGCGUGAAAUCCCCGGGCUCAACCUGGGAAUUGUGCUUGUGACUGCAGUGCUGGAGUGCGGCAGAGGGGGAUGGAAUUCCGCGUGUAGCAGUGAAAUGCGUAGAUAUGCGGAGGAACACCGAUGGCGAAGGCAAUCCCCUGGGCCUGCACUGACGCUCAUGCACGAAAGCGUGGGGAGCAAACAGGAUUAGAUACCCCUGUAGUCC
RNAcentral lists this ribosomal RNA (450 nucleotides) under uncultured bacterium. Its description in RNAcentral is "partial 16S ribosomal RNA". It matches the Rfam family "Bacterial small subunit ribosomal RNA", at positions 354 to 796 of the family's 1533-position model. The record is from RNAcentral.